This 216-nucleotide ribosomal RNA is filed under the name Glomeromycotina sp. Its description in RNAcentral is "partial small subunit ribosomal RNA". The stretch from base 40 to 216 matches the Rfam family "Eukaryotic small subunit ribosomal RNA", at positions 686 to 864 of the family's 1831-position model. The record is from RNAcentral. Lineage: Eukaryota; Fungi; Glomeromycota.
GGGUCAGUAGGUUGGUCGUGCCACCGGUACGUACUGGUCUCACUGAUUCCUCCUUCCUGAAGAACCGUAAUGCCAUUAAUUUGGUGUUGCGGGGAAACAGGACUGUUACUUUGAAGAAAUUAGAGUGUUUAAAGCAAGCUAAAGCUUGAAUACAUUAGCAUGGAAUAAUGAAAUAGGACGAUCGAUCCUAUUUUGUUGGUUUCUAGGAUUGACGUA